AUGCACUAUAAAAUAGGCUUGCCAUUUCGUUUGUUCUUUCUUAGAACUUACAUAUCACACAAUAAUCUGCAACUCGCUCCUUUAGCACAAACACUAGUUAAAAUGAGGACUACCCAGAUGUUGCUUCUGUCCCUGGUCUUUCUCAUGCUAGCAUCAGAUGUGGUAGUGGAGGCAUCAAUGGAUGAUAGCAUGAAACUCUACACAUGUGUGCAAAAAAUUAUCCCAUCAACAAAGCCAUGUGAUAGCAAAACUUGCGAAAAAAAAUGUGUGAAACGUACAAGGCAAACCAAAUCUAGCAUGUGUGUUCUUGAGGGGUGCCAGUGCACGUUAUGCAUAGAUCCGGCUCCAACCAUCCAUGAUAAUGAACAAAUGGGUACCAAUUAG
This 384-nucleotide ribosomal RNA is filed under the name Triticum aestivum (bread wheat). RNAcentral's name for it is "partial small subunit ribosomal RNA". The record is from RNAcentral. Lineage: Eukaryota; Viridiplantae; Streptophyta; Magnoliopsida; Poales; Poaceae.